GAUGAACGCUGGCGGCGUGCCUAAUACAUGCAAGUCGAGCGAACGGACGAUAAGCUUGCUUCUCUGAUGUUAGCGGCGGACGUGUGAGUAACACGUGUAUAACCUACCUAUAAGACUGGGAUAACUUCGGGAAACCGGAGCUAAUACCGGAUAAUAUUUUGAACCGCAUGGUUGAAAAGUGAAAGACGGUCUUUCUGUCACUUAUAGAUGGAUCCGCGCUGCAUUAGCUAGUUGUGAAGGUAACGGGUUACGAAGGCAACGAUGCAUAGCCGACCUGAGAGGGUGAUCGGCCACACUGGAAGGGAGACCCGGUACAGACUCACACGGGAGGCAGCCGUAGGGAAACUUCCGGAAUGGGCGAAAGCCAGACGGAGCAACGCCGCGUGCGUGAUGAAGGUCUUCGGAUCGUAGAACUCUGUUAUUAGGGAAGAACAUAUGUGUAAGUAACUGUGAACAUCUUGAAGGUACCUAAGCAGAAAGCCACGGCUAACUUAGUG
This 497-nucleotide ribosomal RNA is filed under the name uncultured bacterium. Its description in RNAcentral is "partial 16S ribosomal RNA". It matches the Rfam family "Bacterial small subunit ribosomal RNA", at positions 28 to 507 of the family's 1533-position model. The record is from RNAcentral.